RNAcentral lists this ribosomal RNA (252 nucleotides) under uncultured bacterium. Its description in RNAcentral is "partial 16S ribosomal RNA". It matches the Rfam family "Bacterial small subunit ribosomal RNA", at positions 525 to 776 of the family's 1533-position model. The record is from RNAcentral.
ACGUAGGGUGCAAGCGUUGUCCGGAAUUAUUGGGCGUAAAGAGCUCGUAGGCGGUUUGUCGCGUCUGCUGUGAAAAUCCAAGGCUCAACCUUGGACCUGCAGUGGGUACGGGCAGACUAGAGUGCGGUAGGGGAGAUGGGAAUUCCUGGUGUAGCGGUGGAAUGCGCAGAUAUCAGGAGGAACACCAAUGGCGAAGGCACAUCUCUGGGCCGUAACUGACGCUGAGGAGCGAAAGCGUGGGGAGCGAACAGG